ACACUAAACCCAAACCGGAAAAGU
This 24-nucleotide small nuclear RNA is filed under the name Arabidopsis thaliana (thale cress). Its description in RNAcentral is "snRNA_09235". Lineage: Eukaryota; Viridiplantae; Streptophyta; Magnoliopsida; Brassicales; Brassicaceae. The record is from RNAcentral.